AGAGGAAUAGCUGGGUCAAAUGGUGGUUCCACUCCCAGCUUUCCAAGGAAUCUCCAUACUGCUUUCCAAAUUGGCGUAACCAAUUUGCAAUCCCACCAGCAAU
Molecule: microRNA precursor, 103 nt
Filed under: Marmota monax (woodchuck)
Lineage: Eukaryota; Metazoa; Chordata; Mammalia; Rodentia; Sciuridae
Source: RNAcentral